CAGAACUUGGGAGAUGGAGGCAAGAAGAUUGAGGGUUCAAAGGUAGCUUAGGCAACACAUCAAGACUCAACCUAAAUCAGAAGCAAAGCAACAAAAAUGCCACAACCACAGAGCAAACCAAAAGAAAAAAAUUUGGUGAGAUUGGCAACCAACCUAGGGGAUUUAAAGCAAAAAGGCUAUGUGGCAGGUCAAUGAUAAGAUGGGCUGUAUAAUCUGCAAGGUGUACAGCAGGCUUCCAUGGGACUGUGACCAUGUAUAUACCAUCACUACCAUGAUGGGUAUUGUGAGGAGAGGGUGUGGCAGCAGUCCCAAGAAGGCGCCAGGGACUGCAGCUAAGUCUUAUGACUUGCACCUGACUUCCUCAUACACCUGAAAAUAAGCCAUGACCAUUGUGAGAGCUGCGCAGGUGCACCAUGAUGCUGGCGGUUUAAACAAGUCCAUAUUUGGUGGAGACGCACCCCUGCUGCCCUGAUUGGCUGAAGCUGCGUGCCUGGUGAGGCAGGUUGAAUUCAUCUGCCUGCUUCCAUAGGCUCCAUCCAGACUAAGCUCUACAGGAACUGCCACCGAGACAGAAGUCUCUCUUUCCUCAGUCACUUGGCCCAACUCAAAUAAGUCCAAAGGACAGAAGAGUAAUGUGUGAAGUAGGAGCCACAGGGCAGGAGACGCCAAACCAGAGGGGCUGGAACUCACCUGUUCAGAAGAUUUACAUGGCCGCCUUUGACUUUUAUGACACUGACAAUUCAGAGGAAUAAGACACUUUUAAGAUACUAGUAGAGAGUUAGCUCCUUGGGGCUUGGCGGGUGUCACUUCUUGAGGGUAAGUGGUUUAUGCAUUCUGACUACACCGUGGCAGAGGUGACCAUAGGUUUGUGACAGGGACUUGUACUAAGAGCAAUGUGACCCAUAUCCUCAUCAAUGUCAAGAUGGCUUCUGAUGUUCCCAGCUGAAUGCUGAUAGCUUUUCUUCCCAACUAACAAAGCAAUCUGUGAAGAGACAAAAUUUUUAAAAGGCUUUUAAAAAAUAUUAUUCUAUCUGUCUCCCUGUCUCCCACUCCAGCCAUGUAUGUGCAUCUCCUCUCUCUGUCUCUGUCUCUGUCUCUGUCUCUCUCUCUCUCUGUCUCUCAGUGUAUAUGUGUGUGUGUGUGUGUGUGUGUGUGUGUAUGUGUGUGUGUGUGAAAAAGAGAGAGAGAAAUCAGUUCUCUCCUUCUACCAUGUGGGUUCCAGGGAUUGAACUUGCAUCUCAGCCUUGGCAGCAAGCACCUUUACCUACUUACUGAUCUAUUUUCUAUUUUAACAGCUCUGGGAGACCCCUCAAGGGCACACAGAUAUUCUGUUCCUAUUAAAUUAACGUCACCAGUUGAAAAUCAAUUAAUGAUCAAUCCCAGAAAUGGCAUUCACUUUGGUGGUUGAGAAAUGGAAUGACUUAUAGGUUAGCAUUCUUUGCACUCAGCUUCACUUAGCAUUGAAAGUUUGACUUCAAGCCAGAGCAUCUAUUAAUGCUACAGACAUAUAUUCUUAAUGCUUUGGAUUUAUGGAUUUAUGUUUAUUAGUGGGUGAUUAUUUUUGGUCCUCAAAUUGCUUCAGAAAUGAUUUUGGGGUUGGAAGGAUAAUAGAGGGUGGUAAAGGUGCUUGCUGCCAAGUCUGACUAUCUGAGGUUGAGCCCUAAACCUAUAUGACAGGCAGGAAGAACUGAGUCUUAAAAACUGCCCACUGACCUCCACACCCCAACUAUCACACAUACAACAAAUAAGUAAAUGUUAUAAAAGCAAAAAGAAAAAAAAAUCUUGGUCUUUUUCAGAUGAGUGUUUCCCUAUGCCUUGUCCUAGAAUUGGACAUUUUUGAAAACCUUGUUUUUCUUGACUUCUCUGGAUCUUCAUGACCAAAAUGGCCUUCAAAACAAGAAUGGAGUGUUAGAUUUAGUUCCUUGCUUGACAUAUCUGUUUUAUUUACUGCAUGAAUAAAUACAAACUUUCUC
This 1973-nucleotide long non-coding RNA is filed under the name Mus musculus (house mouse). RNAcentral describes it as "sciatic injury induced lincRNA upregulator of SOX11". Lineage: Eukaryota; Metazoa; Chordata; Mammalia; Rodentia; Muridae. The record is from RNAcentral.